RNAcentral lists this long non-coding RNA (1214 nucleotides) under Junco hyemalis (dark-eyed junco). RNAcentral's name for it is "lncRNA (ENSJHYG00000011364.1)". Lineage: Eukaryota; Metazoa; Chordata; Aves; Passeriformes; Passerellidae. The record is from RNAcentral.
CUAGCAUAAGAAAAAAUGAAGGUGAACUGGCCAAGCCUUGGGCAGAACCAGGUCAACAUGUGCACGUAAAGAGCAAAGAUCGAUCAUCUUCUUUUGUUUUUUUCUUCUUCCAACCUGCAGAUGAACUUCUCAGCCCAGGCUCUUUCCAUGGUUCAGUGAGGAGAAAUGGCCAUUUUUGGCAUGUGGUUUGUCAGGUCAGUGUGGAUAUUUGUCCUGGGAGAGGAUGAAUCAGCCUCCACCUGUGUGCCUGUGAAAGCACCUGUGGGUGAACAGCUCGGAUGUGCAUAUCCCAUGGGACUGAAGGAAACCUACCCACUGUGCACCAGACCUGUCUGCUACAGACAAUUUCUGGAACUGCCUGAACUCCUAGGUUUGUUUAAAUUUCAUGUUGCAUUUUCAGAAUAAAAGAUAACUGACCACCAGAACUCUCCUUGCCUUCUAAGAAGGCCAUUCCCAGCUGCUCCAGUGCUGUAAGACACGGGGCAUUGUUGAAAGCACCUGAGGUCCACGUGCUGCAGCAUGGUCUGGAGACAAGAUUUGUACACACCACACCAUUACUUCAUUUCCAAAUCAUCAUACCAGCAAUGUGUGAAGCUGUUUGGUACAAGAACUAUCUGCAUGUUGUACUCAUGCCUAAUGUUCAGCUCAAGAAAGGUGCUGAAUAUUCUGUGUAUUCAAAGAAAAUGCCACAAGAAGGUCUGCAGGCGCUUUACAAUCCUCCUCCAUUCAAAAGUGUCAAAUUAUGGCAAUAUUGAUAAAAGAGUGAUGUGAAUGGUUGUCUAGUCAAUCCCUAAACCAGUUAAUAUCUUUCUUUACUGCAUUGUAAAAGCCAAUUACUCUGAAGUUUUGGAGUGAAAUUUGCGAAGGGCAAUCUGAGUUGAUAAUGUUUAGAAAACAAAUUGGAAGAAGAUAAAGAUCCGUGUCCACCUGCCCGUGCUCGCUAUAAAAGUCGGUGCUGCUGCCCCUGUGCUGGCUCUGCUGCCUGUCAUCCUGCCCUGCUGGCACUGAUCAACAUUGUCUAGAGAUGAGUUGUGAGCAACAUCAAAUGUUUCAAACAAGAUUUUCUUCUUCUUUGUAAUUUUCUCAGCUCCUUUCUUAGCCACCAGCAGCUGCUUCUCCACAUUCUGUAAUUGGGUGUUGUAUUACUAGACCUGUAAUCUAUCUAUGAUGUAUAACACAGUAUUUGUUCUUAUCAAGUCCAGCAAAAACAUGAC